This 253-nucleotide ribosomal RNA is filed under the name uncultured bacterium. Its description in RNAcentral is "partial 16S ribosomal RNA". It matches the Rfam family "Bacterial small subunit ribosomal RNA", at positions 524 to 776 of the family's 1533-position model. The record is from RNAcentral.
UACGUAGGGACCAAGCGUUGUUCGGAUUUACUGGGCGUAAAGGGCGCGUAGGCGGCGUGACAAGUCACUUGUGAAAUCUCUGAGCUUAACUCAGAACGGCCAAGUGAAACUGUUGUGCUAGAGUGCAGAAGGGGCAAUCGGAAUUCUUGGUGUAGCGGUGAAAUGCGUAGAUACCAUCCAGAACCCCGAUUGCGUAGGCAGCUGACUAGGCUGGUACUGACACUGAGGCACGAAAGCGUGGGGAGCGAACAGG